UACGAAGGGGGCUAGCGUUGCUCGGAAUCACUGGGCGUAAAGCGCACGUAGGCGGCUUUCUAAGUCAGGGGUGAAAUCCUGGAGCUCAACUCCAGAACUGCCUUUGAUACUGGAGAGCUUGAGUCCGGAAGAGGUGAGUGGAACUCCGAGUGUAGAGGUGAAAUUCGUAGAUAUUAGGAAGAACACCGGUGGCGAAGGCGGCCCACUGGUCCGGUACUGACGCUGAGGUGCGAAAGCGUGGGGAGCAAACAGG
This 253-nucleotide ribosomal RNA is filed under the name uncultured bacterium. RNAcentral describes it as "partial 16S ribosomal RNA". It matches the Rfam family "Bacterial small subunit ribosomal RNA", at positions 524 to 776 of the family's 1533-position model. The record is from RNAcentral.